This 468-nucleotide ribosomal RNA is filed under the name uncultured bacterium. RNAcentral's name for it is "partial 16S ribosomal RNA". It matches the Rfam family "Bacterial small subunit ribosomal RNA", at positions 28 to 507 of the family's 1533-position model. The record is from RNAcentral.
GACGAACGCUGGCGGCGUGCUUAACACAUGCGAGUCGAACGGAAAGGCCCUGCUUUUGUGGGGUGCUCGAGUGGAGAACGGGUGAGUAACACGUGAGUAACCUGCCCUUGACUUUGGGAUAACUUCAGGAAACUGGGGAUAAUACCGGAUAGGAGAUCCUGCUGCAUGGGGGGGGUUGGAAAGUUUCGGCGGUUGGGGAUGGACUCGCGGCUUGUCAGCUUGUUGGUGGGGGAGUGGCUUACCAAGGCUUUGACGGGUAGCCGGCCUGGGGGGGUGACCGGCCACAUUGGGACUGGGAUACGGCCCAGACUCCUACGGGAGGCAGCAGUGGGGAAUAUUGCACAAUGGGCGGAAGCCUGAUGCAGCAACGCCGCGUGCGGGAUGACGGCCUUCGGUUUGUAAACCGCUUUCGCCUGUGACGAAGCGUUAGUGACGGUAAUUGGUAAAGAAGCACCGGCUAACUACGUG